ACAUGCAAGUCGAGCGAAUCGAUGGGAGCUUGCUCCCUGAGAUUAGCGGCGGACGGGUGAGUAACACGUGGGCAACCUGCCUAUAAGACUGGGAUAACUUCGGGAAACCGGAGCUAAUACCGGAUACGUUCUUUUCUCGCAUGAGAGAAGAUGGAAAGACGGUUUACGCUGUCACUUAUAGAUGGGCCCGCGGCGCAUUAGCUAGUUGGUGAGGUAAUGGCUCACCAAGGCGACGAUGCGUAGCCGACCUGAGAGGGUGAUCGGCCACACUGGGACUGAGACACGGCCCAGACUCCUACGGGAGGCAGCAGUAGGGAAUCUUCCGCAAUGGACGAAAGUCUGACGGAGCAACGCCGCGUGAACGAAGAAGGCCUUCGGGUCGUAAAGUUCUGUUGUUAGGGAAGAACAAGUACCAGAGUAACUGCUGGUACCUUGACGGUACCUAACCAGAAAGCCACGGCUAACUACGUGCCAGCAGCCGCGGUAAUACGUAGG
RNAcentral lists this ribosomal RNA (495 nucleotides) under Bacillus sp. 458(2010). RNAcentral describes it as "bacterial SSU rRNA". It matches the Rfam family "Bacterial small subunit ribosomal RNA", at positions 53 to 531 of the family's 1533-position model. Lineage: Bacteria; Bacillati; Bacillota; Bacilli; Caryophanales; Bacillaceae. The record is from RNAcentral.